GACGAACGCUGGCGGCGUGCUUAACACAUGCAAGUCGAACGGAAAGGCCCUGCUUGCAGGGUACUCGAGUGGCGAACGGGUGAGUAACACGUGGGUGAUCUGCCCUGCACUUCGGGAUAAGCCUGGGAAACUGGGUCUAAUACCGGAUAGGAGCCAUUUUUAGUGUGAUGGUUGGAAAGUUUUUUCGGUGUAGGAUGAGCUCGCGGCCUAUCAGCUUGUUGGUGGGGUAAUGGCCUACCAAGGCGGCGACGGGUAGCCGGCCUGAGAGGGUGGACGGCCACAUUGGGACUGAGAUACGGCCCAGACUCCUACGGGAGGCAGCAGUGGGGAAUAUUGCACAAGGGGCGCAAGCCUGAUGCAGCGACGCCGCGGGGGGGAUGACGGCCUUCGGGUUGGAAACUCCGUUCGCUAGGGACGAAGCUUUUUGUGACGGUACCUAGAUAAGAAGCACCGGCUAACUACGUG
Molecule: ribosomal RNA, 465 nt
Filed under: uncultured bacterium
Lineage: Bacteria
Description: partial 16S ribosomal RNA
Rfam family: Bacterial small subunit ribosomal RNA
Source: RNAcentral